CAACAGGGCUUCUGUCGUGAGUGGCACACAUAGAGCCCCGCAAUUGCUCUUUAUGCAGAAUCAACAUCAAGGGAUUUCAGAAGUAUAAAUUUUGUAGCUAGAGCAGCUGUUCAUCAUUGGUCGUGGCACUCUU
RNAcentral lists this small nuclear RNA (133 nucleotides) under Dasypus novemcinctus (nine-banded armadillo). RNAcentral describes it as "U11 spliceosomal RNA (ENSDNOG00000044695.1)". It matches the Rfam family "U11 spliceosomal RNA". The record is from RNAcentral. Lineage: Eukaryota; Metazoa; Chordata; Mammalia; Cingulata; Dasypodidae.